UUACGACCAUAUCACGCUGAUACACCAGUUCACGAAGAUCACCGAAGUUAAGAAACGUCGAGCCUAGUCAUUACCUAUAUGGGUGACCGCUUGGGAAUAUCAGGUACUGUAA
Molecule: non-coding RNA, 112 nt
Organism: Acanthosepion pharaonis
Lineage: Eukaryota; Metazoa; Mollusca; Cephalopoda; Sepiida; Sepiidae
Source: the annotation of a GenBank genome assembly